UUGCAUUCAUGUUUUGGUUAACUUUGCUUCUUACUAAUUGUGGAGUUUGUUUUGUUUUGGUUGUCAUUCUUUGUUUCUUUCCAGAUUUGCACAUUUUUUCUUCUCUUUGUUUUGUUGAUGUUGCAUGAUCAUGAUCAUAAUUAGUCACUUAAUUGAGUUUAUGUAUUUUUUGAAUAUAUUGAGUCCCAUUAGAGGCAAAUAUUUUAGGCAACAUGAGACUAAGAUGAGAAGGAAGAUGUGGCUAUAGAAUACGAAGAUAAAAUUAAUUGUUUGGGUAUUAUUGUUGCCUUGAUUCUUAUCAUUGUUUUGUCUAUUUUCCAUGGCUUUAGUUGUUAAAUUGGCUUGGAACUUCCUGGAGACUUGCUGCCAUGCUCAUUUGGGUUGUCUUGGUAGAUUCCUUUCCACCUUGCAAAUCCUUUCUCUUGGGUCUUUGAUCUUUCACGUUAUACCUGUCUCCUUCUGUUAACCUUGUAGGAGGAGCAUUUAUAUUUUGGAUUGGUUAUAUGGGUAAUAUGCUUCAACUUUUGCAAUUAUAAAAUUUUCUGUAUGUUCUAUGUUGUGUUUUUUUUUUUUGGCUUUGCUUACCAUGAUGAUAGUUUUUCCUUCUUUUUUUCUUUCAAUGAUAGGCUUGGAAGCUAAUUUGCAGUCACAUUGGGUGUGAAAUCUCUCAUUAUUUAUCUGUCAUUUCAAGUCCAGAAUGUAUAACCCUGUCAUAUUUGAAAUAUAUUCUAGUAAAUUUCCCUCCUAGGUGGCUUAUCUCUAGUAGUUCUAAUAUACUAUGUGCAAAAUGAAUAUUUUAUUGUCGUACUUUGGGUGAUGCUGUCAUAUCUUUAAAAUUACUUAUGCUAUUAAAUAUCUUAGAUUAAAAAAGGUUUUAACUUUAACGUAUAGGUGGUAAAAUUCAUUCUCUUAUUUUGAUUAUCUUGAAAGAAUGGAGGGAUAUUGAAUUAUAUUGCUGUAGAACAAUAGGUUGUAGAACAAGUUCUUUUUUUUUUUUUUGGUAGCAAAGGAUAGACUACGAUUAAACACAAACCAUUCAAUUACAAAAAUAGCUUGGAUUUAUCAAAAGCCAGCAAAGUCUCCACCACAAGUAGGUGAUCGCAAGAGCGAGUCUCACCUUCGCCUGCUGCAGUUCAGGGUUAGUACGCAUCCUAAGAGAGAGGGAAGCCCGAUCUGAUAGCGUAUGCUAAAACGACGAGCUUCAGGAAUCGGCCUGUUAAAAUUCCUGAACCGGACGGGCGGCUGACGGCAACGUAGGGAGUCCGGAGACGUCGGCGGGGCCCAGGGAAGAGUUAUCUUUCUGUUAAACAGCUGCCCACCUGAAACGGCCAGCCGGAGGUUAGGACAGCACUGGAAGAGCACCGCAGUCGCGUGAUGUCCCGGUGACCCCCGGACGCGCCCUUGUAACAUCCAAACCGAAUCCAUUCCCCAGGUAACACCGAACACGCAUCGUCCCACCCCUCUGGUCGAUUGAACAUUAGCAAGGAAGUCGCAAAAUGGAAUCCGUAACCUCGGGAAAAGGAUUGGCUCUGAGGGCUGGGCACGGGGGGUCCCAGUCCCGAACCCGUCGGCUGUCGGUGGACUGCUCGAGCUGCUUCCGCGGCGAGAGCGGGAUCGCCGCGUGCCGGCCGGGGACAGAUUGGGAACGAUCGUCGGCGGUCUUCCCCGGGCGUCGAACAGUCGACUCAGAACUGGUACGGACAAGGGAAUCCGACUGUUAAUUAAAACAAAGCAUUGCGAUGGUCCCGCGAAUGCUCACGCAAUGUGAUUCUGCCCAGUGCUCUGAAUGUCAAAGUGAAGAAAUUCACCAAGCGCGGGUAAACGGCGGGAGUAACUUAGACUCUCUAAGGUAGCCAAAUGCCUCGUCAUCUAAUUAGUGACGCGCAUGAAUGGAUUAACGAGAUUCCCACUGUCCCUGUCUACUAUCCAGCGAAACCACGGCCAAGGGAACGGGCUUGGCAGAAUCAGCGGGGAAAGAAGACCCUGUGAGCUUGACUCUAGUCCGACUUUGUGAAAUGACUUGAGAGGUGUAGGAUAAGGGGAGCGAAAGGCGGAAAGUGAAAUACCACUACUUUUACGUUAUUUACUUAUUCCGGAUCGCAGGCGGGGCAAUGCCCCUCUUUUGUGGACCAAGGCUCGCCUCGGCGGGCGAUACGAGCGGAAAGACAUAUUCAGUGGGAGAGUUGGCUGGGGCGGCACAUCUGUUAAAAGAUAACGCAGGUGUCUAAGAUGAGCUCAACGAGAACAGAAAUCUCGAUGUGACAAAGGUAAAAAGCUCGUUUGAUUCUGAUUUCCAGUACGAAUACGAACGUGAAAGCGUGGCCUAUCGAUCCUUUAGACCUUCGAAUUUGAACUAGAGGUUCAAAAAGUUACCACAGAAUAACUGGCUUGUGGCAGCCAAACGUCACUACGACGUUUGCUUUUUUGAUCCUUCGAUGUCGGCUCUUCCUAUCAUUGUGAAGCAGAAUUCACCAAGUGUUGGAUUGUUCACCCACCAAUAGGGAACGUGAGCUGGGUUAGACCGUCGUAAGACAGGUUAGUUUACCCUACUGAUGACAGCUAUCGCAAUAGUAAUUCAACCUAGUACGAGAGGAACCGUUGAUUCGCACAAUUGGUCAUCG
RNAcentral lists this ribosomal RNA (2621 nucleotides) under Fagus sylvatica (European beech). Its description in RNAcentral is "eukaryotic LSU rRNA". The stretch from base 1469 to 2621 matches the Rfam family "Eukaryotic large subunit ribosomal RNA", at positions 1889 to 3069 of the family's 3401-position model. The record is from RNAcentral. Lineage: Eukaryota; Viridiplantae; Streptophyta; Magnoliopsida; Fagales; Fagaceae.